UAAGCGACUAAGCGUACACGGUGGAUGCCCUGGCAGUCAGAGGCGAUGAAGGACGUGCUAAUCUGCGAUAAGCGUCGGUAAGGUGAUAUGAACCGUUAUAACCGGCGAUUUCCGAAUGGGGAAACCCAGUGUGUUUCGACACACUAUCAUUAACUGAAUCCAUAGGUUAAUGAGGCGAACCGGGGGAACUGAAACAUCUAAGUACCCCGAGGAAAAGAAAUCAACCGAGAUUCCCCCAGUAGCGGCGAGCGAACGGGGAGCAGCCCAGAGCCUGAAUCAGUGUGUGUGUUAGUGGAAGCGUCUGGAAAGGCGUGCGAUACAGGGUGACAGCCCCGUACACAAAAAUGCACAUGCUGUGAGCUCGAUGAGUAGGGCGGGACACGUGGUAUCCUGUCUGAAUAUGGGGGGACCAUCCUCCAAGGCUAAAUACUCCUGACUGACCGAUAGUGAACCAGUACCGUGAGGGAAAGGCGAAAAGAACCCCGGCGAGGGGAGUGAAAAAGAACCUGAAACCGUGUACGUACAAGCAGUGGGAGCACGCUUAGGCGUGUGACUGCGUACCUUUUGUAUAAUGGGUCAGCGACUUAUAUUCUGUAGCAAGGUUAACCGAAUAGGGGAGCCGAAGGGAAACCGAGUCUUAACUGGGCGUUAAGUUGCAGGGUAUAGACCCGAAACCCGGUGAUCUAGCCAUGGGCAGGUUGAAGGUUGGGUAACACUAACUGGAGGACCGAACCGACUAAUGUUGAAAAAUUAGCGGAUGACUUGUGGCUGGGGGUGAAAGGCCAAUCAAACCGGGAGAUAGCUGGUUCUCCCCGAAAGCUAUUUAGGUAGCGCCUCGUGAAUUCAUCUCCGGGGGUAGAGCACUGUUUCGGCAAGGGGGUCAUCCCGACUUACCAACCCGAUGCAAACUGCGAAUACCGGAGAAUGUUAUCACGGGAGACACACGGCGGGUGCUAACGUCCGUCGUGAAGAGGGAAACAACCCAGACCGCCAGCUAAGGUCCCAAAGUCAUGGUUAAGUGGGAAACGAUGUGGGAAGGCCCAGACAGCCAGGAUGUUGGCUUAGAAGCAGCCAUCAUUUAAAGAAAGCGUAAUAGCUCACUGGUCGAGUCGGCCUGCGCGGAAGAUGUAACGGGGCUAAACCAUGCACCGAAGCUGCGGCAGCGACGCUUAUGCGUUGUUGGGUAGGGGAGCGUUCUGUAAGCCUGUGAAGGUGUACUGUGAGGUAUGCUGGAGGUAUCAGAAGUGCGAAUGCUGACAUAAGUAACGAUAAAGCGGGUGAAAAGCCCGCUCGCCGGAAGACCAAGGGUUCCUGUCCAACGUUAAUCGGGGCAGGGUGAGUCGACCCCUAAGGCGAGGCCGAAAGGCGUAGUCGAUGGGAAACAGGUUAAUAUUCCUGUACUUGGUGUUACUGCGAAGGGGGGACGGAGAAGGCUAUGUUGGCCGGGCGACGGUUGUCCCGGUUUAAGCGUGUAGGCUGGUUUUCCAGGCAAAUCCGGAAAAUCAAGGCUGAGGCGUGAUGACGAGGCACUACGGUGCUGAAGCAACAAAUGCCCUGCUUCCAGGAAAAGCCUCUAAGCAUCAGGUAACAUCAAAUCGUACCCCAAACCGACACAGGUGGUCAGGUAGAGAAUACCAAGGCGCUUGAGAGAACUCGGGUGAAGGAACUAGGCAAAAUGGUGCCGUAACUUCGGGAGAAGGCACGCUGAUAUGUAGGUGAAGUCCCUCGCGGAUGGAGCUGAAAUCAGUCGAAGAUACCAGCUGGCUGCAACUGUUUAUUAAAAACACAGCACUGUGCAAACACGAAAGUGGACGUAUACGGUGUGACGCCUGCCCGGUGCCGGAAGGUUAAUUGAUGGGGUUAGCCGCAAGGCGAAGCUCUUGAUCGAAGCCCCGGUAAACGGCGGCCGUAACUAUAACGGUCCUAAGGUAGCGAAAUUCCUUGUCGGGUAAGUUCCGACCUGCACGAAUGGCGUAAUGAUGGCCAGGCUGUCUCCACCCGAGACUCAGUGAAAUUGAACUCGCUGUGAAGAUGCAGUGUACCCGCGGCAAGACGGAAAGACCCCGUGAACCUUUACUAUAGCUUGACACUGAACAUUGAGCCUUGAUGUGUAGGAUAGGUGGGAGGCUUUGAAGUGUGGACGCCAGUCUGCAUGGAGCCGACCUUGAAAUACCACCCUUUAAUGUUUGAUGUUCUAACGUUGACCCGUAAUCCGGGUUGCGGACAGUGUCUGGUGGGUAGUUUGACUGGGGCGGUCUCCUCCUAAAGAGUAACGGAGGAGCACGAAGGUUGGCUAAUCCUGGUCGGACAUCAGGAGGUUAGUGCAAUGGCAUAAGCCAGCUUGACUGCGAGCGUGACGGCGCGAGCAGGUGCGAAAGCAGGUCAUAGUGAUCCGGUGGUUCUGAAUGGAAGGGCCAUCGCUCAACGGAUAAAAGGUACUCCGGGGAUAACAGGCUGAUACCGCCCAAGAGUUCAUAUCGACGGCGGUGUUUGGCACCUCGAUGUCGGCUCAUCACAUCCUGGGGCUGAAGUAGGUCCCAAGGGUAUGGCUGUUCGCCAUUUAAAGUGGUACGCGAGCUGGGUUUAGAACGUCGUGAGACAGUUCGGUCCCUAUCUGCCGUGGGCGCUGGAGAACUGAGGGGGGCUGCUCCUAGUACGAGAGGACCGGAGUGGACGCAUCACUGGUGUUCGGGUUGUCAUGCCAAUGGCACUGCCCGGUAGCUAAAUGCGGAAGAGAUAAGUGCUGAAAGCAUCUAAGCACGAAACUUGCCCCGAGAUGAGUUCUCCCUGACUCCUUGAGGGUCCUGAAGGAACGUUGAAGACGACGACGUUGAUAGGCCGGGUGUGUAAGCGCAGCGAUGCGUUGAGCUAACCGGUACUAAUGAACCGUGAGGCUUAACCU
Molecule: ribosomal RNA, 2902 nt
Filed under: Escherichia coli 3-373-03_S4_C2
Lineage: Bacteria; Pseudomonadati; Pseudomonadota; Gammaproteobacteria; Enterobacterales; Enterobacteriaceae
Description: bacterial LSU rRNA
Rfam family: Bacterial large subunit ribosomal RNA
Source: RNAcentral